CCGCCCGUCACAUCAUGAAAGCCGGUUGUACCCGAAGUCCGCAAGCGAACUCGCAAGAGGAGUAGCGACCGAAGGUAUGGCUGGUGAUUGGGAUG
This 95-nucleotide ribosomal RNA is filed under the name uncultured bacterium. Its description in RNAcentral is "partial 16S ribosomal RNA". The record is from RNAcentral.